AUACGUAGGGGGCGAGCGUUGUCCGGAAUGAUUGGGCGUAAAGGGCGCGUAGGCGGCCUGUUAAGUCUGGAGAGAAAGUCCCGCUUUUAAGGUGGGAAUUGCUUUGGAAACUGGCGGGCUUGAGUGCAGGAGAGGUUAGUGGAAUUCCCGGUGUAGCGGUGAAAUGCGUAGAGAUCGGGAGGAACACCAGUGGCGAAGGCGACUAACUGGACUGUAACUGACGCUGAGGCGCGAAAGUGUGGGGAGCAAACAGGAUUAGAUACCCUGGUAGUCCACACGGUAAACGAUGAAUGCUAGGUGUAGGGGGUAUCGACCCCUUCUGUGCCGGAGUAAACACAAUAAGCAUUCCGCCUGGGGAGUACGGCCGCAAGGUUGAAACUCAAAGGAAUUGACGGGG
Molecule: ribosomal RNA, 397 nt
Filed under: uncultured bacterium
Lineage: Bacteria
Description: partial 16S ribosomal RNA
Rfam family: Bacterial small subunit ribosomal RNA
Source: RNAcentral